UACGUCGGGAGCAAGCGUUGUUCGGAUUUACUGGGCGUAAAGGGCGCGUAGGCGGCGUGUUAAGUCAGCUGUGAAAUCUCCAAGCUCAACUUGGAACGGCCAGCUGAUACUGAUGUGCUAGAGUGCAGAAGGGGCAAUCGGAAUUCUUGGUGUAGCGGUGAAAUGCGUAGAUAUCAAGAGGAACACCUGAGGUGAAGACGGGUUGCUGGGCUGACACUGACGCUGAGGCGCGAAAGCCAGGGGAGCAAACGGG
This 253-nucleotide ribosomal RNA is filed under the name uncultured bacterium. RNAcentral describes it as "partial 16S ribosomal RNA". It matches the Rfam family "Bacterial small subunit ribosomal RNA", at positions 524 to 776 of the family's 1533-position model. The record is from RNAcentral.